GACGAACGCUGGCGGCGUGCUUAACACAUGCAAGUCGAACGGUAAGGCCCUUCGGGGUACACGAGUGGCGAACGGGUGAGUAACACGUGGGUGAUCUGCCCUGCACUUCGGGAUAAGCCUGGGAAACUGGGUCUAAUACCGGAUAGGACCCUGGGAUGCAUGUCCUGGGGUGGAAAGCUUUUGCGGUGUGGGAUGGGCCCGCGGCGCUAUCAGCUUGUUGGUGGGGUGAUGGCCUACCAAGGCGACGACGGGUAGCCGGCCUGGGAGGGUGACCGGCCACAGGGGGACUGGGAUCGUGCCCAGACUCCUGCGGGAGGACGCGGUGGGAAAUAUUGCAAAUUGGGACAAAGCUGGAGGCAGCGACGCCGCGGGGGGGAGGCCGGCCUUCGGGUUGAAACCCUCUUUCAGCACCGACGAAGCGAAAGGGACGGUAGGGGCAGAAGAAGGACCGGCCAACUACGUGCAAGCCGCCGCCGUAA
This 479-nucleotide ribosomal RNA is filed under the name uncultured bacterium. Its description in RNAcentral is "partial 16S ribosomal RNA". It matches the Rfam family "Bacterial small subunit ribosomal RNA", at positions 28 to 523 of the family's 1533-position model. The record is from RNAcentral.